CGGUUAUUUUGCAAUUUACUCCUCAGCCUUUUCUCGACCAAACCCGAGGUCCCUAUCUUCCUCCUUCCUCUCUGACCGACACUCUGCUCUCUUCCUCCUUCCUCUCCGACCGGCCGGCGCCGGCGGCGCCGCUUCCCUCCGCGCAGCUCCACGCCGCCUGUGCCUCCUCUCCCUCCCCCGCGGUUCCUUCCCUCCCCAGCGCCGGCGCCCUCUCCCUUGGGCGCGUCACCGGCGCUCUCUUCCUCUUGCAUGUCCGGUGAAAAUUCGAUUUUCCCCCUCCGGCACUCCGGUCUGCAGCGGCCGUGCUCAAUCAGCGGCGGGGACUACCAAGAUGGCUCGACGGAGCUGCUUCUGCCGGUCGCCUGCACGGGGCUGCUGCUGCCGGUCGUCAGGUGAGGAGCGCAUCUCCUGCAGCAGCGGCUACCUGGCCACGCAGCAGCGGCGGCGGGAUGGUGGCGGCAAGGGGGCGGCGAGCUCCUCCGUCCGCUCUAGGACUCCGCCGCCAAGGGGGCGAGCUCCUCCGUUCGCUCUAGGACUCCACAGCGAAGGGGGAACGCCCUUGCAUCUGGGAGGUGCUCGAGCUCGUCAAAGGUUCACAGCAAAAAACUGGUUUUGAAUUCGCCGCCGGCUCCGAGACCUCGACCGGACGGAUGGAAGGCGGAUUGAAAUCGUUGCUGUGGCGCCGUAUAUUAUAUGCAGUCCCACGUUUUCCUCUUCCUUUAUUUAGGUGAGCAUCAUCACAAAACAUGCAUCGUCAGACAGGUGUUGGUUGACUGAAUAUUGGGCAGGUGAUAUUGAUCUGAGCAGGAUUUGUUUUUA
Molecule: long non-coding RNA, 819 nt
Organism: Aegilops tauschii subsp. strangulata
Lineage: Eukaryota; Viridiplantae; Streptophyta; Magnoliopsida; Poales; Poaceae
Source: RefSeq, a predicted model, not a curated record